GACGAACGCUGGCGGCGUGCUUAACACAUGCAAGUCGAACGGAAAGGCCCUGCUUUUGUGGGGUGCUCGAGUGGCGAACGGGUGAGUAACACGUGAGUAACCUGCCCUUGACUUUGGGAUAACUUCAGGAAACUGGGGCUAAUACCGGAUAGGAGCUCCUGCUUCAUGGUGGGGGUUGGAAAGUUUCGGCGGUUGGGGAUGGACUCGCGGCUUAUCAGCUUGUUGGUGGGGUAGUGGCUUACCAAGGCUUUGACGGGUAGCCGGCCUGAGAGGGUGACCGGCCACAUUGGGACUGAGAUACGGCCCAGACUCCUACGGGAGGCAGCAGUGGGGAAUAUUGCACAAGGGGCGGAAGCCUGAUGCAGCAACGCCGCGUGCGGGAUGACGGCCUUCGGGUUGUAAACCGCUUUCGCCUGUGACGAAGCGUGAGUGACGGUAAUGGGUAAAGAAGCACCGGCUAACUACGUG
Molecule: ribosomal RNA, 468 nt
Filed under: uncultured bacterium
Lineage: Bacteria
Description: partial 16S ribosomal RNA
Rfam family: Bacterial small subunit ribosomal RNA
Source: RNAcentral